UCUACGGGAGGCAGCAGUGGGGAAUUUUGGACAAUGGGGGCAACCCUGAUCCAGCCAUGCCGCGUGAGUGAAGAAGGCCUUCGGGUUGUAAAGCUCUUUCGGCCGGGAAGAAAUCGUGUGGGCUAAUACCCUGCAUGGAUGACGGUACCGGAAUAAGAAGCACCGGCUAACUACGUGCCAGCAGCCGCGGUAAUACGUAGGGUGCGAGCGUUAAUCGGAAUUACUGGGCGUAAAGCGUGCGCAGGCGGUUUAGUAAGACAGGCGUGAAAUCCCCGGGCUCAACCUGGGAACUGCGCUUGUGACUGCUAGGCUAGAGUACGGCAGAGGGGGGUGGAAUUCCACGUGUAGCAGUGAAAUGCGUAGAGAUGUGGAGGAACACCGAUGGCGAAGGCAGCCCCCUGGGCCGAUACUGACGCUCAUGCACGAAAGCGUGGGUAGCAAACAGGAUUAGAUACCCUGGUAGUCCACGCCCUAAACGAUGUCAACUAGGUGUUGGGUGGGUAAAACCAUUUAGUACCGUAGCUAACGCGUGAAGUUGUCCGCCUGGGGAGUACGGCCGCAAGGUUAAAACUCAAAGGAAUUGACGGA
This 588-nucleotide ribosomal RNA is filed under the name uncultured bacterium. RNAcentral describes it as "bacterial SSU rRNA". It matches the Rfam family "Bacterial small subunit ribosomal RNA", at positions 338 to 917 of the family's 1533-position model. The record is from RNAcentral.